UACAGAGGUCUCAAGCGUUGUUCGGAUUCAUUGGGCGUAAAGGGCGCGUAGGCGGCGGGGUAAGUCGGGUGUGAAAUCUCAGAGCUCAACUCUGAAACUGCACUCGAUACUGCUCUGCUUGAGGACUGGAGAGGAGACUGGAAUUCACGGUGUAGCAGUGAAAUGCGUAGAUAUCGUGAGGAAGACCAGUGGCAAAGGCGGGUCUCUGGACAGUUCCUGACGCUGAGGCGCGAAGGCCAGGGGAGCAAACGGG
Molecule: ribosomal RNA, 253 nt
Filed under: uncultured bacterium
Lineage: Bacteria
Description: partial 16S ribosomal RNA
Rfam family: Bacterial small subunit ribosomal RNA
Source: RNAcentral